CACGACCCAAGUCAACCAAGUCAAAAGAGAGUGGAGUCUCCCCAUGGUUAGGGUUUGACCUGUAACCAAAGCACAACCCAAAGGUUUAAACUUCAGAGAUGUUGAAAGUAAUCCCACAUUCAUUAUUUUCAACACAUCUCGUGGCUUUUAAGCCCCAAAGUUUUGUGGGGCUAGAGGUGUUAAAAUAACCAGUUUAAAGGGACUAAUCUGGUGUACUUACAUUGAAAUAUUUAGCAUCAUGGGGCCUUUGGCUUUACUGUCUCAGGAUAAUGAAGAUAUAUCUCAUACAUUUUGAACAGCAGUAUAAUUACUUCCAUCAACACCAGUCAGCGUUUGGGUGAGAGGGCUUUAAAACAGUGCAGCAGAGGAGAAGAAAAGCUAAAUGCUGUUCUGCUAAAUCAGGCACACACCGAGGAAAACAAGAAUGCAGACCAAGAGGUGAUGAACUUCCAAGGUGUUCCAAAGGGUGGUCUAGGAACCUCCUCAGUACUGAUACAGGAUGAGGUGGACUCAGCCUGUUUUAGACGCCUGUAUUAAGGCUGCUCUGAAACCAGAGCGGGUAACAAAAUGAAGAGUGAGGUGUAUUUUGAUAGAACUAUCAGCCAAGAAGUCUGUCUUCUCUCCCAACAUCACCACUCCAGCCCUUUGUGGUGGUUGCUCUUGAGAGCAGAUUUUGGAUGCAUGAAGUGCUGAUGAUCUUGGCCCUUCCCUCUCCAUCUCUUCUCCAUAAGUGGAUCUCCCAGAAGCUGGAAGAAGAACUGAUGAACAAGAAAGAUCUGAUUCGCUCACUGUGGCUCUGUGACUACAUCCUGUCCUCCACUGCCUUGUUCUGCAAAGCAAAGGACAUACCUAAAGAAACGCAUGUGCCUCAUGCUCAUCAAGCCACAUGGGAAAAGAAGACUGGAGGAGCUGCAGUCAUCAUUGCCCUGUGGGGUUGCUGAAGCUGCAUCACUGAAAGAAGAAAGACACAGAAGAAGUCGGGAGUGAAAGAGAAGCAGGAGGAUGAAGAAGGUGCUGACUCAGAGGGAGCCCCACAGGUCCUUGGAGUGGGUCUGGAUCUACCUGGUCCUUGACUGCAGAGUUGAGCCUGAAGGCAAGUCAGCUGCUGGAGGAUGCUGAGAAGUGCCUCGGAGACCCCCGAAGUGAGACCACAGGGGAGAGAGGAAGAAGACUGAAGUAGAGGAUAUGGAGGCAUGCCCACUGUACAUGAUCCUGGAUGGAAGCCUGACUUACCAUCAUUCCAUGUUGGCAUUGGUUUCAUUGUAUUUUCAAUAUAUAACAAAGAGUUCUCUCAAAACCCUCGUGAGUUGGUGACCUUGCAUUAGAUCUCCAAGAAGUUGCUUGUUCCUUGAUACCUA
Molecule: long non-coding RNA, 1358 nt
Organism: Pezoporus occidentalis (night parrot)
Lineage: Eukaryota; Metazoa; Chordata; Aves; Psittaciformes; Psittacidae
Exons: 7
Source: RefSeq, a predicted model, not a curated record